GGUAGCCGGCCUGAGAGGGCGACCGGCCACACUGGGACUGAGACACGGCCCAGACUCCUACGGGAGGCAGCAGUGGGGAAUAUUGGGCAAUGGAGGAAACUCUGACCCAGCGACGCCGCGUGCGGGAUGAAGGCCUUCGGGUUGUAAACCGCUUUCAGCAGGGAAGAAGCGAAAGUGACGGUACCUGCAGAAGAAGCACCGGCUAACUAUGUGCCAGCAGCCGCGGUAAUACAUAGGGUGCAAGCGUUGUCCGGAAUUAUUGGGCGUAAAGAGCUCGUAGGUGGUUCGUCACGUCGGAUGUGAAACUCUGGGGCUNAACCCCAGACCUGCAUUCGAUACGGGCGANCUKGAGUNUGGUAGGGGA
RNAcentral lists this ribosomal RNA (364 nucleotides) under uncultured bacterium. Its description in RNAcentral is "bacterial SSU rRNA". It matches the Rfam family "Bacterial small subunit ribosomal RNA", at positions 282 to 658 of the family's 1533-position model. The record is from RNAcentral.